RNAcentral lists this ribosomal RNA (465 nucleotides) under Vreelandella stevensii. RNAcentral describes it as "partial 16S ribosomal RNA". It matches the Rfam family "Bacterial small subunit ribosomal RNA", at positions 338 to 795 of the family's 1533-position model. The record is from RNAcentral. Lineage: Bacteria; Pseudomonadati; Pseudomonadota; Gammaproteobacteria; Oceanospirillales; Halomonadaceae.
UCUACGGGAGGCAGCAGUGGGGAAUAUUGGACAAUGGGGGCAACCCUGAUCCAGCCAUGCCGCGUGUGUGAAGAAGGCCCUCGGGUUGUAAAGCACUUUCAGUGAGGAAGAACGCCUGGUGGUUAAUACCCAUCAGGAAAGACAUCACUCACAGAAGAAGCACCGGCUAACUCCGUGCCAGCAGCCGCGGUAAUACGGAGGGUGCGAGCGUUAAUCGGAAUUACUGGGCGUAAAGCGCGCGUAGGUGGCUUGAUAAGCCGGUUGUGAAAGCCCCGGGCUCAACCUGGGAACGGCAUCUGGAACUGUCAAGCUAGAGUGCAGGAGAGGAAGGUAGAAUUCCCGGUGUAGCGGUGAAAUGCGUAGAGAUCGGGAGGAAUACCAGUGGCGAAGGCGGCCUUCUGGACUGACACUGACACUGAGGUGCGAAAGCGUGGGUAGCAAACAGGAUUAGAUACCCUGGUAGUC